GACGAACGCUGGCGGCGUGCUUAACACAUGCAAGUCGAACGGAAAGGCCCUGCUUUUGUGGGGUGCUCGAGUGGCGAACGGGUGAGUAACACGUGAGUAACCUGCCCUUGACUUUGGGAUAACUUCAGGAAACUGGGGCUAAUACCGGAUAGGAGCUCCUGCUGCAUGGUGGGGGUUGGAAAGUUUCGGCGGUUGGGGAUGGACUCGCGGCUUAUCAGCUUGUUGGUGGGGUAGUGGCUUACCAAGGCUUUGACGGGUAGCCGGCCUGAGAGGGUGACCGGCCACAUUGGGACUGAGAUACGGCCCAGACUCCUACGGGAGGCAGCAGUGGGGAAUAUUGCACAAUGGGCGGAAGCCUGAUGCAGCAACGCCGCGUGCGGGAUGACGGCCUUCGGGUUGUAAACCGCUUUCGCCUGUGACGAAGCGUGAGUGACGGUAAUGGGUAAAGAAGCACCGGCUAACUACGUGCCAGCAGCCGCGGUGAUACGUAGGGUGCGAGCGUUGUCCGGAUUUAUUGGGCGUAAAGGGCUCGUAGGUGGUUGAUCGCGUCGGAAGUGUAAUCUUGGGGCUUAACCCUGAGCGUGCUUUCGAUACGGGUUGACUUGAGGAAGGUAGGGGAGAAUGGAAUUCCUGGUGGAGCGGUGGAAUGCGCAGAUAUCAGGAGGAACACCAGUGGCGAAGGCGGUUCUCUGGGCCUUUCCUGACGCUGAGGAGCGAAAGCGUGGGGAGCGAACAGGCUUAGAUACCCUGGUAGUCCACGCUGUAAACGGUGGGUACUAGGUGUGGGGUCCAUUCCACGGGUUCCGUGCCGUAGCUAACGCUUUAAGUACCCCGCCUGGGAAGUACGGCCGCAAGGCUAAAACUCAAAGGAAUUGACGGGGCCCCGCACAAGCGGCGGAGCAUGCGGAUUAAUUCGAUGCAACGCGUAGAACCUUACCUGGGUUUGACAUGGAUCGGGAGUGCUCAGAGAUGGGUGUGCCUCUUUUGGGGUCGGUUCACAGGUGGUGCAUGCCUGUCGUCAGCUCGUGUCGUGAGAUGUUGGGUUAAGUCUCGCAACGAGCGCAACCCUUGUUCACUGUUGCCAGCACGUUAUGGUGGGGACUCAGUGGAGACCGCCGGGGUCAACUCGGAGGAAGGUGGGGAUGACGUCAAGUCACCAUGCCCCUUAUGUCCAGGGCUUCACGCAUGCUACAAUGGCUGGUACAGAGAGUGGCGAGCCUGUGAGGGUGAGCGAAUCUCGGAAAGCCGGUCUCAGUUCGGAUUGGGGUCUGCAACUCGACCUCAUGAAGUCGGAGUCGCUAGUAAUCGCAGAUCAGCAACGCUGCGGUGAAUACGUUCCCGGGGCU
RNAcentral lists this ribosomal RNA (1346 nucleotides) under uncultured bacterium. RNAcentral's name for it is "partial 16S ribosomal RNA". It matches the Rfam family "Bacterial small subunit ribosomal RNA", at positions 28 to 1381 of the family's 1533-position model. The record is from RNAcentral.